Zonotrichia leucophrys gambelii is the source of this 464-nucleotide long non-coding RNA. RefSeq lists it as uncharacterized. Lineage: Eukaryota; Metazoa; Chordata; Aves; Passeriformes; Passerellidae. The transcript has 3 exons. The record is from RefSeq and is a predicted model, not a curated record.
GGAGCUGCCUUUGAGAAACAUCAAGGAGGUAUGAAACUCUUGCACUGAGGAGACAACAAUACAAAACCUUUGCAAUAUAUUGGCAACAUAGAUAAACCCUUCAAAAUCUGCUUGUCACAGAAACCCUUCUACUGCUGUAUAAGAGGACUUUGCCAGGCCAAGCUAACUGCAGUGAGAGUGAUGGACGUGGACAUCUCAUGAAGCUUUUUCUGAUUUUGUCUCAGGUCUGAAGCUUAGUGGCUUCUUUACAGAAGGAAGGAACCAUACCCAGGGAAGGAACAACAUUCUGUAAUAACAGAGGGAAACAGGAUUUAGCGACACAAUAUGGCAUUCAUAAGUCAGUUCCAGCCUAUUCCCUCCCUUUCUUUCUCAGACACUCAUAACUUUGUCAAAAUAAAUUUGAGGGGCUGGAACUAUCCAUGCUUGGAUUCAACUGAAAGGUAAAUGUUUGGGGUUUUAUAUUU